GAUUCCUCAAGGCAGACCCUUCAGCGGAUAUCAGGUCUCUUGAACUUCGUCAUUGUGCUUUGUUGUUUGGAAUCUAAAAUUUUCCAACAAUCUUUGUAAUAGCAGUAAUGGAACUUGAAUAUAUCUGAUCUUUGUGCUUUCGCGCGCUACUUGUGGUUAUGCUACUUCUUAGGUUUAGAUAGCUUGAUAAAUUUUUUUUUAUGUAUAUAUUAAAUGCCAUAAAUUUUCUUUUGGAUGAUUCCUGUCAUUUCUGUUUCCCCACUUCCUAUAAAUAUCUGUACCAUGUAAUUUUCUUCCCAGAUUAGUAGUAGGAUAUUGAUUUAAGUUUUUGACUGGUUGUCACAAGUUAUUAGGCACUGCUAUUAUUGGUUAGGAUCCCAGUGGUCUAGCUGCUGUGUAAUGCAUGAGGUCACUGGUUCUAAUCAUGAUAUUUGCCUCCCUUUUCUGUUGAAUAAUUUGCUAAUACAGAUGUAAGAGGACCAACAUGAAGUCGUUAUAGAUGUAACUAAUGUUUCUCUGCAUGUUUCCUAGGAGGUGGGCGGGAUCUUAGAAAGCCUCCUUUUAAUGAUGUUCUGGUUUACUUUGAUGCUGCUGAAUUACAAUUUCAUUUAUAUAAGAAAUGUAAAAUUUCAAGUCAAUGAAGGCUUCUAUCUGGUUGGGAAAUUGCUAAACCUUGGGUUACAAUCUACAGUAUACGUCAACUAGAUAUCUAUGCCAAUACUAGAUUGGUCUAACGAGUUAAGCUAAUGUUCUGUGUAGAUAAUGA
RNAcentral lists this unclassified non-coding RNA (766 nucleotides) under Hevea brasiliensis (rubber tree). The record is from RNAcentral. Lineage: Eukaryota; Viridiplantae; Streptophyta; Magnoliopsida; Malpighiales; Euphorbiaceae.